This is a ribosomal RNA of 97 nucleotides. It matches the Rfam family "Bacterial large subunit ribosomal RNA", at positions 2815 to 2912 of the family's 2925-position model. The record is from Rfam.
CCAGGUUUCCCUAUCAGGACCGUGGUAGACCACCACGUUGAUAGGCCGGGUGUGGAAGCGCAGUAAUGCGUGAAGCUAACCGGUACUAAUCGUCCGA